UUGCCACUUUGGCAGCACAUAUACUAAAAGUGGAAUGAUACAGAGAACAUUAACACGACCCCUGCACAAGAAUGACAUGCAAAUUCAUGAAACAUUCCAUAAUUUU
Ochotona curzoniae (black-lipped pika) is the source of this 106-nucleotide small nuclear RNA. Lineage: Eukaryota; Metazoa; Chordata; Mammalia; Lagomorpha; Ochotonidae. The record is from RefSeq and is a predicted model, not a curated record.